Long non-coding RNA from Equus caballus (horse), 1733 nucleotides. The record is from Ensembl. Lineage: Eukaryota; Metazoa; Chordata; Mammalia; Perissodactyla; Equidae.
GUACGUGAUACUCAGGGUCGGUUGUGAACUUUGAAAAUGUUUGGUAUCUGUAAGUCUUGAGCAGAUGGACGGCAGGGAUUAAAUUGGCAGUUCCAAAUGUGAAUUUUGAGCCAAAUUCUAAUUGUAAAAUUUGAUAUUUUGCUGUCUUUUUUGAAACUUCCUUUCUCCUGGUAAUAUUUUCAUUUUACUCAAAGCAAAGUAGUGCUGUGGUGAGGCCUUCCCAGCAGCAUCAAACGUGGGCUAUGAAACCACGGAGGCCAGGGCUGCUGUUAACAGUCUGGGCGGGAGGUCUGGCUCUAAAUAGCCAACAAAGUCUGUUACUCUCACUUAACGGUUUCAUACAUCAGCAUAAACCAAGAGCCAAGAUGAUUUGGGUUUCUAUUUUCAGUGUAUAAUUUGGUUCCUUGAGAUGAUAUUGAACUAUUUCUGUAAAAAACAUCUAGACAUCAAAUCAAUACAACUUUUCUGUGGUGUUUGUUGUUGUUGCUGAAAAGAAAAAGUCGUACGUUGAAAUUUUCAAAAAUGUAAUUCUCUGCCAACAGCCAAGUAACAAUAUUGAGCAAUUUUCCCCGACCUCACGUGUUUCUCAGUGUGAUGUUUCAGGAUGUGGCACCACGUGACGCGGAAUGCUUCCCCUGGGUUUACACCAGGUGCUAGUUUCUAGGGAGCCCGUUGGGAUGGUGUUGCACUGGCCAACUUGCAGCAGAGACCAGAAGACAACCAAGGAGAGAAAUUGGAAGUAUACAAGCUAAUUCCGAGAUCAGAGAUAGAGGGAGGGUGGCAAGUUUGAAGACAGCGGAGUAUUUGUCUAGUUUUCCAAGGCAGGAAGGUGGAAAUAGGGCGGUCAGUGAAGAGGAUUGCCAACCACAUAGUAAAAAGUAACCUUUAAGACGUUUACCUCCUUCUCCCACUGACAUCAAGAACCUGGGUGUUUGUUUGGGAGACGGAAAAGUUAUGGUCCCGAGAACAGCAUGGAACAAAGCAGAACACGGAGCAGCCUUGAGGUCCCAGCAGGACGUGUGACCAGCUGCCUCUGGAGCAGGAUGCGGCCACUCGGGGCGUCACCUCAGCAGUGAGGGCAGGAAAGCAAGACAUGUGAUCCCACACAAAGCCCCAUGUUGAAACCACGCUUUCGUCUUCACUGAGGAUCUGGAGCAGCUCUCAGCUGUUCACGCUGAUGACACAGAGCGAGCAAAACGGAGCCCAGGGUCUUAUGGAAAGCAGAAGCACUCAGAAGCAUUCACACGGGGUUAGUCCUGCUCUUCAGACCAGGGAUUAAAGGCAGCAAAAUACAUUGCCUCUUCUCAUGAGUAUAAAUAAAGAAGACAUCACAAACCUAUAAAAAGAGGUAGACAGUCAUGAAAGUAAAAAUACGCAAGAAUUAUUAGCAAUGUCUACAAGCCUCAAGCUGCAUGUCCUUGGGCCUCGUCUCCGUGCAUUCACAAGAACCACGUCUCGUUUUGAUGGCCUUGAAAAAUAACACUGUUCUUUCAGUAGAUUUUCUUGUAGAAAUAGCCCAGGAGAUUAGAUAACAUACUGCUUUACAAAACGUCCUGAAUAUGGUCUCCUGAUAUUUCAGUCUCUCCAGGGUUCCACUUCUUGCCUCUGUCCACAGAGACCCCGCGAUGCAUGUUGCUGUCCAUCCACUCCCCCUUCUCUGCCCGCAGACCCCUGCUCUGCUCCUCGUACCCGCAGCGCGUGACCCUCCGCAGAGUGCAGCCCCCUCAAAAGUG